GCCAGGCGUGGUGGCGCGUGCCUGUAAUCCCAGCUACUUGGGAGGCUGAGGCAGAAGAAUCGCUUGAACCCAGGAGGCAGAGGUUGCAGUGAGCCGAGACCAUGCCACUGCACUCCAGCCUGGGUGACAGAGUGAGAUUCCGUUUCAA
Pan troglodytes (chimpanzee) is the source of this 148-nucleotide non-coding RNA. It matches the Rfam family "Metazoan signal recognition particle RNA". From Rfam's summary of the family: The signal recognition particle (SRP) is a universally conserved ribonucleoprotein. It is involved in the co-translational targeting of proteins to membranes. The eukaryotic SRP consists of a 300-nucleotide 7S RNA and six proteins: SRPs 72, 68, 54, 19, 14, and 9. The record is from Rfam. Lineage: Eukaryota; Metazoa; Chordata; Mammalia; Primates; Hominidae.